This 471-nucleotide ribosomal RNA is filed under the name Lautropia mirabilis. RNAcentral describes it as "bacterial SSU rRNA". It matches the Rfam family "Bacterial small subunit ribosomal RNA", at positions 30 to 494 of the family's 1533-position model. The record is from RNAcentral. Lineage: Bacteria; Pseudomonadati; Pseudomonadota; Betaproteobacteria; Burkholderiales; Burkholderiaceae.
AUUGAACGCUGGCGGCAUGCUUUACACAUGCAAGUCGAACGCAGCGCGGGCUUCGGCCUGGCGGCGAGUGGCGAACGGGUGAGUAAUACAUCGGAACGUGCCCAGUAGUGGGGGAUAGCUCGGUCGAAAGCCGGAUUAAUACCGCAUACGACCUGAGGGUGAAAGCGGGGGAUCUUCGGACCUCGCGCUAUUGGAGCGGCCGAUGCAGAUUAGCUAGUUGGUGGGGUAAAGGCCUACCAAGGCGACGAUCUGUAGCUGGUCUGAGAGGACUGACCAGCCACACUGGGACUGAGACACGGCCCAGACUCCUACGGGAGGCAGCAGUGGGGAAUUUUGGACAAUGGGCGAAAGCCUGAUCCAGCAAUGCCGCGUGUGUGAUGAAGGCCUUCGGGUUGUAAAGCACUUUUGGCGGGAACGAAAAGGACUGUGCCAAUACCACGGUUCGAUGACGGUACCCGCAGAAUAAGCACC